This 497-nucleotide ribosomal RNA is filed under the name uncultured bacterium. Its description in RNAcentral is "partial 16S ribosomal RNA". It matches the Rfam family "Bacterial small subunit ribosomal RNA", at positions 28 to 507 of the family's 1533-position model. The record is from RNAcentral.
GAUGAACGCUGGCGGCGUGCCUAAUACAUGCAAGUCGAGCGAACAGACGAGGAGCUUGCUCCUCUGACGUUAGCGGCGGACGGGUGAGUAACACGUGGAUAACCUACCUAUAAGACUGGGAUAACUUCGGGAAACCGGAGCUAAUACCGGAUAAUAUAUUGAACCGCAUGGUUCAAUAGUGAAAGACGGUUUUGCUGUCACUUAUAGAUGGAUCCGCGCCGCAUUAGCUAGUUGGUAAGGUAACGGCUUACCAAGGCAACGAUGCGUAGCCGACCUGAGAGGGUGAUCGGCCACACUGGAACUGGGACACGGUCCAGACUCCUACGGGAGGCAGCAGUAGGGAAUCUUCCGCAAUGGGAGAAAGCCUGACGGAGCAACGCCGCGUGAGUGAUGAAGGUCUUCGGAUCGUAAAACUCUGUUAUUAGGGAAGAACAAAUGUGUAAGUAACUAUGCACGUCUUGACGGUACCUAAUCAGAAAGCCACGGCUAACUACGUG